Molecule: long non-coding RNA, 926 nt
Organism: Felis catus (domestic cat)
Lineage: Eukaryota; Metazoa; Chordata; Mammalia; Carnivora; Felidae
Exons: 2
Source: RefSeq, a predicted model, not a curated record
GAACUCCCAUGCAAGGCAACGGGAGGCUGGAUAUGAGAGCAGCCCAGAGCGCAAUCCAAAGCAGAGAGUACGGAUUCAAGUUCUCACUCUAUGAUUCCUUUUGCUUCAAGUUGGGAAAGGUUGUCAGUGAAGUUUUAGCGACAUGUGAAGAAUUAAUGAACAUUGCAAAUUUUCAGUGAGACACUGUGCUGAACAGGAGUUGAGUAACUUGGACCUGGAGAGACUUUGGCUAACGGCACCACUGGAGGGGCCUGGGAGGAACAGCUUAUUCUCCUUGAUUGUUUUCUCUAAACCAUCUGUAGUUUUCAACCAAAUCUAUUUGGAAGUAAAAUAAGCUGCAGCACAUGGUGAGUCACACGGCAUUUGUCACCAUGUCACCUUGCAAGAGAAGUCAUUUAGAGACAGCAAAGGGACCAACGUCCUUUACAUACUGAUGAUGACACCUGGGUAUAUCCGGGUCAAGGCCAGGAUGGUGGAGCACGAGAUUAUACUGCCUCCUCUUAGGAGUUGGAAACUGAUAAAUGUGUAAUGCUAACAACCUCCGAAGCCUCACACUUUUAAAUGUACUAUUUUCAGAGCGAGAGCCUUGUCUUCUCUAGUACCUUCUCUUUGGAAGGAAACACACACACAUGCAAGCAGGCACACAUGCAUAACCCCAAGCCAUAAAUAACUGUAUAAUGAAGCCUCAUGCUCUGUGCUUAGGUUUUCUUUGGAUAAUAAGGUUGACAGAGUUUGUCCUUUAAGCACCCCAUUUAUAUAAUUAUAAAUAAAUAUACAGAUGCAUUUGUAAAAUAAGUAUGCUCUCCCUUCUAGUGCCCUUCUCCCUCUGAGAGUGACAUUGAAACAUGUUAAAAAACAGUCUGCAAAUGAAAUAAAGCUCAUCCUUAUGUUAUGCUGAAAACUUAAAUAUAUUAACCCCCAUCUUU